CAGUACCGCGGUAACACGAGGGGUGCAAGCGUUAUUCGGAUUGAUUGGGUGUAAAGGGUGUGCAGACGGCUUAUUAAGUCACUUGUUAAAUUCUUCGGCCUAACUGAAGGUCUGCAAGUGAUACUGAUGAGCUAGAGGGUGGAAGAGAGAAGUGGAAUUCUCGGAGUAGCGGUGAAAUGCGCAGAGAUGUGGAGGAACACCAGUGGCGAAGGCGACUCUCUGGUCUGUAACUGACGCUGAGGAGCGAAAGCGUGGGGAGCGAACAGGAUUAGAUACCCCCGUAGUCCCUGUCUCUUAUACC
This 301-nucleotide ribosomal RNA is filed under the name uncultured bacterium. RNAcentral describes it as "partial 16S ribosomal RNA". It matches the Rfam family "Bacterial small subunit ribosomal RNA", at positions 509 to 808 of the family's 1533-position model. The record is from RNAcentral.